CCCUUAGAUGGUCUGGGCGGCACGCGCGCUACAAUGAUGCAUUCAAAAAGCCUUCUGACCUUAGAAGGUUGGGUAUUCUCCAAAGUGCAUCGUGAUGGGAAUAGUUUAUUGCGAUUUUUAAUCUUGAACGAGGAAUUCCUAGUAAGUACAGGUCAUCAACUUGUGUUGAUUACGUCCCUGCCCUUUGUACACACCGCCCGUCGCUCCUACUGAUUGAGUGUCUCGGUGAAUUCUUUGAUCUUCUGUCGAUUCAGUUCACUGAUCCGACGGUGGAAAGUUGAAUGAACUUCGUCACUUAGAGGAAGGAGAAGUCGUAACA
Molecule: ribosomal RNA, 319 nt
Filed under: uncultured eukaryote
Lineage: Eukaryota
Description: partial 18S ribosomal RNA
Rfam family: Eukaryotic small subunit ribosomal RNA
Source: RNAcentral